GACGAACGCUGGCGGCGUGCCUAAUACAUGCAAGUAGAACGCACAGUUUAUACCGUAGCUUGCUACACCAUAAACUGUGAGUUGCGAACGGGUGAGUAACGCGUAGGUAACCUGCCUGGUGGCGGGGGAUAACUAUUGGAAACGAUAGCUAAUACCGCAUAAUAUUGAUUAUUGCAUGAUAAUUGAUUGAAAGAUGCUAUUGCAUCACUACCAGAUGGACCUGCGUUGUAUUAGCUAGUAGGUGAGGUAACGGCUCACCUAGGCGACGAUACAUAGCCGACCUGAGAGGGUGAUCGGCCACACUGGGACUGAGACACGGCCCAGACUCCUACGGGAGGCAGCAGUAGGGAAUCUUCGGCAAUGGACGAAAGUCUGACCGAGCAACGCCGCGUGAGUGAAGAAGGUUUUCGGAUCGUAAAGCUCUGUUGUAAGAGAAGAACGGGUGUGAGAGUGGAAAGUUCACACUGUGAUGGUAUCUUACCAGAAAGGGACGGCUAACUACGUG
RNAcentral lists this ribosomal RNA (505 nucleotides) under uncultured bacterium. Its description in RNAcentral is "partial 16S ribosomal RNA". It matches the Rfam family "Bacterial small subunit ribosomal RNA", at positions 28 to 507 of the family's 1533-position model. The record is from RNAcentral.